UACGUAGGGGGCAAGCGUUGUCCGGAAUCAUUGGGCGUAAAGCGCGUGUAGGCGGCCCGAUAAGUCCGCUGUGAAAGUCCAGGGCUCAACCCUGGAAUGCCGGUGGAUACUGUCGGGCUAGAGUGCGGAAGAGGCGAGUGGAAUUCCUGGUGUAGCGGUGAAAUGCGCAGAUAUCAGGAGGAACACCAAUUGCGAAGGCAGCUCGCUGGGACGUAACUGACGCUGAGACGCGAAAGCGUGGGGAGCAAACAGG
RNAcentral lists this ribosomal RNA (253 nucleotides) under uncultured bacterium. RNAcentral describes it as "partial 16S ribosomal RNA". It matches the Rfam family "Bacterial small subunit ribosomal RNA", at positions 524 to 776 of the family's 1533-position model. The record is from RNAcentral.